Molecule: non-coding RNA, 848 nt
Filed under: Hemiergis millewae
Lineage: Eukaryota; Metazoa; Chordata; Lepidosauria; Squamata; Scincidae
Description: partial 12S ribosomal RNA
Rfam family: Bacterial small subunit ribosomal RNA
Source: RNAcentral
AAGUUUUGGUCCUAAACUUGCCAUUGUUUUUUAUCAAAAUUAUACAUGCAAGCCUCCACAACCCAGUGAGAAUGCCCACACACCCUAAACAGCCAGCCGGAGCAGGCAUCAGGAUACAACAUAUUUGGCCCAAGACGCCUUGCACUCGCCACACCCACACGGGCUUUCAGCAGUAAUUAACAUUAAAACAUGAGUGAAAACUUGAUUUAGUUAUGAUUAAUGUGGCCGGUAAAUUUCGUGCCAGCCACCGCGGUUAUACGAAAGGCCAAAAACAAUAGCCUACGGCGUAAAGCGUGACUAGAGUAAACCAAACAUUAAAGGGGUACAACCGCCAAGUUGUAAAACACUACUGCACGUUAGAACCACAACGAACCAAGCCUUUAAGUCCACUUUACCUCACGAAAGCUAAGAAACAAACUGGGAUUAGAUACCCCACUAUGCUUAGCCCUAAACACAGAUAGUACCCCCACAAAACUAUCCGCCAGAGAACUACAAGCGAAAAGCUCGAAACUCCAAGGACUUGGCGGUGCUUCAAAUCAAUCUAGAGGAGCCUGUCCUAUAAUCGAUACCCCACGUUUCACCUUACCCCUUCUAGCCAACCAGCCUAUAUACCGCCGUCGUCAGCCCACCUUAUGAAAGAAAUAAAGUGAGCGAAAUAGUCACUAACUAACACGUCAGGUCAAGGUGUAGCACACGAAGCGGUAGAGAUGGGCUACAUUUUUUCAAAGUAAAAACACAAAUAGUAACCUGAAACACAUGCUUGAAGGCGGAUUUAGUAGUAAGACAAGAAAUAAUGCUAGUCUUAAACCUGCUCUGAAGCGCGCACACACCGCCCGUCACCCUCAUCA